AGUGAACGCUGGCGGUAGGCCUAACACAUGCAAGUCGAACGGCAGCACAGUAAGCGCUUGCUCUUACGGGUGGCGAGUGGCGGACGGGUGAGGAAUACAUAGGAAUCUACUUUUUCGUGGGGGAUAACGUAGGGAAACUUACGCUAAUACCGCAUACGACCUACGGGUGAAAGCAGGGGAUCUUCGGACCUUGCGCGACUGAAUGAGCCGAUGUCGGAUUAGCUAGUUGGCGGGGUAAAGGCCCACCAAGGCGACGAUCCGUAGCUGGUCUGAGAGGAUGAUCAGCCACACUGGAACUGAGACACGGUCCAGACUCCUACGGGAGGCAGCAGUGGGGAAUAUUGGACAAUGGGCGCAAGCCUGAUCCAGCCAUACCGCGUGGGUGAAGAAGGCCUUCGGGUUGUAAAGCCCUUUUGUUGGGAAAGAAAAGCAGCAGGUUAAUACCCCGCUGUUCUGACGGUACCCAAAGAAUAAGCACCGGCUAACUUCGUG
This 492-nucleotide ribosomal RNA is filed under the name uncultured bacterium. RNAcentral describes it as "partial 16S ribosomal RNA". It matches the Rfam family "Bacterial small subunit ribosomal RNA", at positions 29 to 507 of the family's 1533-position model. The record is from RNAcentral.